This 398-nucleotide ribosomal RNA is filed under the name uncultured bacterium. RNAcentral describes it as "partial 16S ribosomal RNA". It matches the Rfam family "Bacterial small subunit ribosomal RNA", at positions 523 to 918 of the family's 1533-position model. The record is from RNAcentral.
AUACGUAGGGUGCGAGCGUUGUCCGGAAUUACUGGGCGUAAAGAGCUCGUAGGUGGUUUGUCGCGUCGUCUGUGAAAUUCCGGGGCUUAACUCCGGGCGUGCAGGCGAUACGGGCAUAACUUGAGUACUGUAGGGGAGACUGGAAUUCCUGGUGUAGCGGUGAAAUGCGCAGAUAUCAGGAGGAACACCGGUGGCGAAGGCGGGUCUCUGGGCAGUAACUGACGCUGAGGAGCGAAAGCGUGGGUAGCGAACAGGAUUAGAUACCCUGGUAGUCCAUGCCGUAAACGGUGGGCGCUAGGUGUAGGGGUCUUCCACGACUUCUGUGCCGUAGCUAACGCAUUAAGCGCCCCGCCUGGGGAGUACGGCCGCAAGGCUAAAACUCAAAUGAAUUGACGGGG